CUCUAAGAGGAGGAGCUUACUCUAGAGAGAGAGAAGGAGGUUCGGCAAGAAGGCGGGAAGAAAGCGGCGAAGAAGCGGCGGAGAACGAGCCUCGUCGGAGUUGCGGGUCUUCGCCGAAUUCGCCAAAAUCAGUCAGCAAAAAGGCGAGAAACCUAUGCCGUUUGCUGUAAAAUUAUAUCGUCGAAGAGAUAACUCAACAAGGUUCGACGAGCGGCUAUAAGGGAAAUGAGGUAGCUGAAGAAUUAGCUUAAAUUACUGCUUGUAGCAUGUUUAGCAUAUUUUUAUUUAUGCGUGAAUCUAUGUAAUUUUGGAUAUGUUUAAGACGUUCAGUUAUAUCUUGCGAGAGAUGAUGUUCAUGUAAUUCAUUUUGUAAACGUCUUGAACAAUUUUAUGAUAAAUAAAGUAUUA
Molecule: long non-coding RNA, 408 nt
Organism: Diospyros lotus (date-plum)
Lineage: Eukaryota; Viridiplantae; Streptophyta; Magnoliopsida; Ericales; Ebenaceae
Exons: 3
Source: RefSeq, a predicted model, not a curated record